Non-coding RNA from Leptonychotes weddellii (Weddell seal), 779 nucleotides. The record is from RefSeq and is a predicted model, not a curated record. Lineage: Eukaryota; Metazoa; Chordata; Mammalia; Carnivora; Phocidae.
AAAGACCAUAUACUUUAUAGUAGCGUUUUUAUAAAGCUCAAAACCAAGCAAAACAAAACAAUAUAUAUUGUUAGGGAUACAUUCGUGCAUAAGAAAAGUAUUUUUUAAGGCAGGGGGAAUGAUAAACAUAAAAUUCCAGACACUGUGACCCUGGGAGUGGGUAGGAAAGUGGGAUGGGGACAAGCACAGUAGCUAGCAAGCGAGCUUGGGUAGGGAGGUGGCGUUUGGGAUGACCAUUUUGUUGUUCUGCUCCAAAGCUUACAGGCGUGUUCUGUGUGUUCUUUUUAUACAUUCACCUGCCACAAAGUAAUUUGGAAGAUGAGAUGGAGAGGGUCCCAGAGGUACUCCUUCUUACCAUCUGCUCCCCACUCUGAGUAUCUGGUGGCAGGAACCCGGGUGUCUACUGAGUGCCCAGACUCCAGCCUCGCCCUGCUUCACAGCUCUACUCUCGUUCCCUCCCCUUCCUCCCGCGCUCUGGCUCGGGCCACCACGCUGUGGCCCCAGCCCCCUCACUCCCAUGAAGAUCAUCCUCGAUGAUCACGAAGCACAGUGGACAAUUUCAGUUCUGGUCUCGUGUGACAGCUCAGUGGCAUUUGCCACUGCUGAUCCCUGCCUGCUCCUUCUCCAAGCACGUCUUCCUUGGCACUCAAGUAAACUCCAUGCCUCGGCCAGAGGAGACCUGACCGACUGUCUACGCAGUACCUGGGACAGUGCCUGGGCCCUACGAAGCAGGUGGUACAAAAUGCUGGAAGGAAGGAUGAAUAAAUAAAUGGCAAGCA